GUGUUUUCUUCAGCAGCACAUGUACUAAAAUUGGAACAAUACAAAGAAGAUUAGCAUGACCUUGCAGAAGGAUGACAGGCAAAUUCACAGUAUUGCAUAUUUUU
This 104-nucleotide small nuclear RNA is filed under the name Procavia capensis (Cape rock hyrax). Lineage: Eukaryota; Metazoa; Chordata; Mammalia; Hyracoidea; Procaviidae. The record is from RNAcentral.